AUUGAACGCUGGCGGCAUGCUUUACACAUGCAAGUCGAACGGCAGCGCGGGCUUCGGCCUGGCGGCGAGUGGCGAACGGGUGGGUAAUGCAUCGGAACGUGCCCAGUAGUGGGGGAUAGCCCGGCGAAAGCCGGAUUAAUACCGCAUACGACCUGAGGGUGAAAGCGGGGGACCGAAAGGCCUCGCGCUAUUGGAGCGGCCGAUGUCGGAUUAGCUAGUUGGUGGGGUAAAGGCUUACCAAGGCGACGAUCCGUAGCUGGUCUGAGAGGACGACCAGCCACACUGGGACUGAGACACGGCCCAGACUCCUACGGGAGGCAGCAGUGGGGAAUUUUGGGCAAUGGGGGCAACCCUGAUCCAGCCAUGCCGCGUGCGGGAAGAAGGCCUUCGGGUUGUAAACCGCUUUUGUUCGGGAAGAAAUCCUCUGGGCUAAUACCCCGGGGGGAUGACGGUACCGGAAGAAUAAGCACCGGCUAACUACGUG
RNAcentral lists this ribosomal RNA (484 nucleotides) under uncultured bacterium. Its description in RNAcentral is "partial 16S ribosomal RNA". It matches the Rfam family "Bacterial small subunit ribosomal RNA", at positions 28 to 507 of the family's 1533-position model. The record is from RNAcentral.